GCUUACGGCCAUACCACUCUGAAACACGCCGAUCUCGUCCGAUCUCGGAAGCUAAGCAGGGUCGGGCAUGGUUAGUACUUGGAUGGGAGACCGCCUGGGAAUACCAGGUGCUGUAAGCU
RNAcentral lists this ribosomal RNA (119 nucleotides) under Seriola dumerili (greater amberjack). Lineage: Eukaryota; Metazoa; Chordata; Actinopteri; Carangiformes; Carangidae. The record is from RNAcentral.